This 454-nucleotide long non-coding RNA is filed under the name Pan troglodytes (chimpanzee). RNAcentral's name for it is "long non-coding RNA NONPTRT016369". Lineage: Eukaryota; Metazoa; Chordata; Mammalia; Primates; Hominidae. The record is from RNAcentral.
CCACGCUCCCGGCUUUGGUUGGGGGAUGCAGACGGGCACUGUGCGAAGGGUUAGGUGCUUCGUUGCACGGGGGAGCGGAGGAGAGGGAACAGGUCGUAAAAACCUUCCCUAAAAUCUUAGCCCUAGAUUGGACCUCGCUACACACCCGACGACACCCCGUUCAGGUGGCUCCAACUCCUGGGGUUCAAACAGUGCUUGCUGGAGUCCUGUCCGACUUGGCUUACCCCUCCUUAGCUGUUUCCUCCUAGAACUAUCUUCAGUGGUCUUACUGGCAGGUGUUGGUGUCCAGAUGGAUCGCCUUCGCAGGGCUAGCAUGGCGGACUACCUGAUCAGCGGCGGCACCGGCUACGUGCCCGAGGAUGGGCUCACCGCGCAGCAGCUCUUCGCCAGCGCCGACGGCCUCACCUACAAGUAAGCGCCGGAUCUCGUACCCCUAGGUGCGCGCAUCCACGCG